This 230-nucleotide ribosomal RNA is filed under the name uncultured bacterium. RNAcentral describes it as "partial 16S ribosomal RNA". It matches the Rfam family "Bacterial small subunit ribosomal RNA", at positions 568 to 796 of the family's 1533-position model. The record is from RNAcentral.
UCCGUAGGUGGAUCAAUCAGUCAGAGGUGAAAUCCUGCAGCUUAACUGUAGAACUGCCUUUGAUACUGUUGAUCUUGAGUCAUUAUGAAGUGGUUAGAAUGUGUAGUGUAGCGGUGAAAUGCAUAGAUAUUACACAGAAUACCGAUUGCGAAGGCAGAUCACUAAUAAUGUACUGACACUGAGGGACGAAAGCGUGGGGAGCGAACAGGAUUAGAUACCCCUGGUAGUCC